UAUCUUUGCCCGCUGAUAGACACGCUAUCAUAUACAUAAAAAUCAUUUAAAACAAUAUUGGAAUG
Molecule: non-coding RNA, 65 nt
Filed under: unclassified sequences
Also listed under: 1 other name
Description: S15-Flavobacteria ribosomal protein leader
Rfam family: S15-Flavobacteria ribosomal protein leader
Source: RNAcentral